GUACGAGUUCAGUGGAGGAGACCGCAAGUUGAGUGGAGGAGGCGGCGGUGGGGCCCCGGACCAGGUGCCUCCAUGGCAGGCUCUGAAGAGCUGGGGCUCCGGGAAGACACGCUGAGGGUCCUAGCUGCCUUCCUUAGGCGUGGUGAGGCUGCCGGGUCUCCUGUUCCAACUCCACCUAGAAGCCCUGCCCAAGAAGAGCCAACAGACUUCCUGAGCCGCCUUCGAAGAUGUCUUCCCUGCUCCCUGGGGCGAGGAGCAGCCCCCUCUGAGUCCCCUCGGCCUUGCUCUCUGCCCAUCCGCCCCUGCUAUGGUUUAGAGCCUGGCCCAGCUACUCCAGACUUCUAUGCUUUGGUGGCCCAGCGGCUGGAACAGCUGGUCCAAGAGCAGCUGAAAUCUCCGCCCAGCCCAGAG
This 411-nucleotide non-coding RNA is filed under the name Homo sapiens (human). Lineage: Eukaryota; Metazoa; Chordata; Mammalia; Primates; Hominidae. The record is from RNAcentral.